RNAcentral lists this ribosomal RNA (269 nucleotides) under uncultured prokaryote. RNAcentral's name for it is "partial 16S ribosomal RNA". It matches the Rfam family "Archaeal small subunit ribosomal RNA", at positions 474 to 743 of the family's 1478-position model. The record is from RNAcentral.
UACCUGCAGCUCAAGUGGUGGCCACUAUUAUUGGGCCUAAAACGUUCGUAGCCUGUUUAGUAAAUGCCUGGGUAAAUUGUGUAGCUUAACUAUACGAAUUCCGGGUAGACUGCUAGACUUGAGACCGGGAGAAGCUAGAGGUACUCCUAGGGUAGAGGUGAAAUUCUGUAAUCCUAGGGGGACCACCAGUGGCGAAGGCGUCUAGCUAGAACGGGUCUGACGGUGAGGAACGAAGCCCUGGGGCGCAAACCGGAUUAGAUACCCCCGUA